Non-coding RNA from Equus caballus (horse), 5737 nucleotides. NCBI's taxonomy places the organism in Eukaryota, Metazoa, Chordata, Mammalia, Perissodactyla, Equidae. The record is from RefSeq and is a predicted model, not a curated record.
GGGGGGGUUUUGAAAGGUUUUAAAUGAGGAAGAAAAUAAUCAAAUAGGAUUUUAAAAAGAUGACUCCAGCAGCCUGGUUGGAUUGGAGAGAGGCCCAGGGCAGAGUUAACCAAUGUUAAGUGCCAUCCUGAUAGCUCUGGCCGAACAGGGAGAGAAUGAACUCAGGUGAAUGACAGGAAGGGGAGGAGGGCACAGGUAAGAAAAGCAUUUAGAAGGCAGAUUAGUAAGACAUAGAGGCCCUGUGAAUUUGUUUGAGGUGAGUCAGAGAGGUGUGGCCGAAGGAAGGGAAAAGGUAACAGAUGGAAAAUUCUAACUAAGUGGACCUCUUUAAAACAAAGCUCCUAGUGCUGGGAAUGCGGAAGUACAAGCCAGAGCCUGCACUUGCCAGAAACAUGCAUAGUCCAACGGACAACAGGAAACUAAACCAACAAUUACAGAACAGGGUUUCGGGUGCUUUACAGUGUCCAUUGUACUUUCACAACCACUGUCACACUUAGGUUCGUUCCACAGUUACUCUGUAAGUUUGCCCUGCAAGUCACUCCAUGGCAAGCACUUUCUGUCUCUAACAGCUGAGAAAAUGGACUCGGAGAAAUUAAGACACAGAACUAAGUAGAGAGGACCGGGGAGGCUCCAAGAAGAGGCAUCCCGCUCCCUCUGCAGCCGCAGAAACGCCUCCAGGACGCCUUCUCUGGCGCUGAGCCUCGAGGGUUGUUAAACUAUGACCGUUUCGCAUGGUGGGGCAACAAGCAGAAGUGUCUGAAUGUAACCUGAAGAGCUCUCUCUGGAUGGCCUGGACUACAAGUUAGCUGGAACCGGCAGAAGGAGCUGCAGCCAAGCUUAGCUUCCCACGGCACCAGUAAUUUCCUCCCUCUAGAGAGAAGAUAGAGAACGUCCUAUAGGCCCCAAGGUCUCUAUGUGCUGGGCAGCUAAUGUUCCCAGCCAAUUCCUACCUAUAGUUGGCAGCCCAAAUACAGACUUCCUGCAGCCAAGCAACCCGUGUAUUCCCCACUGGCAUGGGUACUUUCUCUUAAAUGCCCUGUGAAAAAGGAGACCCAUGGAGUGGUGGGGUCUGACCACUGGAAUGAAGGCCCAUACUGAGGGUCUACCAGUGCCCUGGCCCCGUACAUCUCUGGGAUGAUGAGACAAUCAGGAGAUGACUGGUGCUUUCUCUUCUCUUAAGGACCCUUGGUCUCUUGGGGUUUUCACUUUUCCAGUAAAGCCUAUAUUAUAACCUAAACUUUGUGACAUUGUAGAAUUUGCAUCAAAUCCAGGUGGAACUCACUUGGCAGAACAAGGAGAGUCCCAGCAGGAACCCAUCUUCACAACAGGCACCCACGAUGUUCCACAUUAACUGGGACUAUAUGCGUGUAGUUCUAGGGGGAGGCCUGAGACAAGGACCAGGCAACCUGGAGCCCGGCAGUCCCCAAAAUAGAUAUGUGAUCUAGCGAGAAGUUUUUUAGAUCCCUAUUCCACAAAUGGCUCAUCUCUGAAUUUCCAAUGAACACACAAGCUGAAACACAAAAAACAGUCAAACAAAACAAAACCCUAAGUUCCCCUCGACGCCAUGAAGCCGGUUGAGCUGCCACACAUGAUGUCAUGUGAUCUUUACUAGUGAUUUCUUGUUGAUGCCCAGGAGGGGACUGAGGACACAAUGCCUAUUGUUCACAUGUCCAGAACCUAAAGGGGAGACUUUGUUCUGGGAUCCUUUUGAUUACAACAAAAGAUGUAUAACAGACUCAAUUCUGCCAGGUGUUCUGGCAAAUGAGUAUGCAACAAACAAAAGUAAAAGGUGAGUCUUCGUUCACUGAAGGCUCUACAAAUGACACGACAAAAAGAAGGAAGGUCCCCAAAAGAUGCCAAAUUAUACACCAGCCUCUUUAAGUCUUUUCCAGUCACCACUGUGUGGUGAAUACCCAGGUCAUCAGCAAGAUGUAGUUCAUGGCCACCUUAACAAAGAGAGGACACACAGGAACUCGAGACCAGACACCUCUGCCCGACCUCUUGAAAAAUAUUUGGAGAUAACUUCUGGGGUGCCACAUAGUCAGAAGACACUAAAAGAAUAGCAAGUUCUUCAUGCUUCUGUUCCAAGAAUUCAAGCGCUAUACGAAAGCAAAGUGUUCCGAGUCCAAGGAAAAUCGGAGUCCAUUUUAUACUAUUCUCUGGAUGCUGAAGGCAUGUAGAUAGAAUGAUGCUUUGCGGAGGGGCAGGAAAAUGAAACCUAGCUUUGCUUCUUGUGCAGUACAACUCAGCAGUAGUGAGCACAAUGGAGCUGUUGUCUUCACAGCAGUCCAGGCACCACCCUACAAGUCCCGUGAGGCUAGGCUGCUAAUGGGCUGAGCUGACUGUGAUGGUGUUUUCAGGGUAUAUCAGAGGCAAUAGCCACUGCUUAGCCAAACUUGGCAAGAAGACCAUGCCCAUUGAAAACACUGAAGUCAAGGUGCUUCACUUCUCGAAAGUCACAAUGAUCCCACUAAGCAAAGAGGACGAAAUCUUUGUGUGUCGAGAUCCAGGUCUGACUGUCAAGAGCCAGGUGGGCUAUAAACGCUCCUUCUUACCCUCAAACAAAUGAACAAAGAAAAUCCCAAGUCACUAAGGUUAUCCUGAAAGUCACUUGGAAAGCACUAAAUUCUUUUGGGCAGUAAACCUGUUUCAUGAAGAUCUUACAGGGAUCAUUGCACAUGUAUGUCUGAAGGGCUUCUGAGUUGCACAUAGGAGAAUCAUAAUCCAUACUCAGCAUCAUUAUUUUUAUAAACAGCAAAGCAGUCCCUUUUGAAAUUGUUUAGGGAUCAUUAACAUUGAAAGGAUAAGAAUCUGAGACCUCAAUAUCAUGAUUACUUCUUUCUACAAAUAAUUUUUUUUUUAUGUUGGGAAUCAUAUUGCUAGUUGACAAUCAAGUAAUUACCAACACAAAGAAAGCCAGCACCCACACAACAGCAUGCAACCCGAGGGUGCCGACACAUACGUGUACUAACUCUAGCCCUGCUGAGAAGGUUCUUUUGGAACAAAGAAAAAAGGCAGGGAAAAUAGCAGCCAUAGCCACAGAAGCUGGUUAUAAUAAAUGCCGUCAAGAAAUCGUACCCAGUAUUGACAUUAAUUGUGAUUGAAGAGUUGUGCCUACAGUUUCUGUCUGCAGACUCACAGGUGUUGUCAGUGUGCUUGCUGAACCCCAAAGCCCUGUGUAAAGGCCUGAAGGUCACUGAAAAACCCAAACAUUAAUAGUUUUGUGCAGAUGGAAACAUCUGACUUCACUAUAACCUAUUUAUUCAUUGCAUAACCUCCUCCCAGCUGCCACUGUUGUGUCCAUACACAGCAUUGUGACACAGUCUUUCUUAUGAUAUAAUAUAAAUGGAACAAAGAGGGCUGCCUGCGUACACUCAAGGUUCACGGCUGUAUAGCUCCCAUCCUUUCAACAAACACCUACAGCGUCGGUACUCAGCAAUUCCGAUCUUUAUUUGGAGCACUGGAAAUAGGUCAUUUUUCCCCUUUAGGAAAAAAAACAGCACAUUUUUCCAAGAAAAGGCCACCUCCAGGUUGAAGGAGAUCAUAACAACUCCCCAAGACAAUAUGUGUGAAGACCCAAGUAAAGCAACAUACGAACAUUGGUUUUUCUGAAAAUCAUUUCUGCCAGAUGUGGCCCAAAAGACCUCUGUGAGGCCAGCAGCCCCUUCCAUGGGGCACUCACAUCCCUCUGCUUGCCAUGGCAGUGGCUCUUGAGAUGGCCUAUAGGCUUGAGUCUCCAGCUGUUAACCUCACCCCAAGUCCAGUGCCUUUACUUAAAAGAAGUAACUUUGUUCCUCUUCGUUAGCACAGCUGCUCGCAGUUAUCCUCCUCACACUCCCACAGCCACUUGCCACUAGUCAUACAUGUCUCCACCAUCAUGGUGACCCACGAUCAGCUGUGAUUCUGGGCAUCUCCCAGGCUGCCUUUGGGGCUGAUACUUGGAGGUUUCAUCCUGCCCUGGCAUGUCCCACAGAGCUGGGUGGUGGCACUGAGCAAAGGGUCAAAAGUGUCCAAGUAUUCCUUCCCACUGAAAGCUGAAGACCAGCAUGGCUGCAUGGGCCUUGCCUUUGACCUUGAAGCCAUGUGGGUCCUGGAAGCACACGCUGGCCUGCUUAAUUUCCUGCUCUAACCUGCAGCACCUGGAAAGCUCUCCCUUCCGCUCAUGCCCAGUACAUCGGGUAGGCUGGUUGUGGUAGCCAGCCUUCAAGAUGGCCCUUGAUGAUCUCCGUCCCCUGGUGUUUGUGUUCCUGCAUGACUCUCUCCCGCUUUGAAUUUGAGUUGAUCUAUGUCAGAAGUGAUGGUAUGUGACUUUCAAUGCUGGGUCAUAAAAGACAUGCAGCUUCUCCUCUACUCUCUUUCUCUCUUGGAUCAUGUGCUUUGGGGGGAAGGAAGCUGCAAUGUCAUGAGGACACUUGGGUUACCUUAUGGAGAGGCUCACCUGAGGAGGAACUGAGGCCUCCAACCAACAGCCAUGUGAGUGAAUGAACUUGGCAGCAAAUUUCCCAGCCUUCAGAUGACCACAGCCUCAGGUGACUUCUUCAGUGCAGCCUCAUGAGAGCCCCUGAGCCAGAAUCCAGCUGAGCCUCUGAAUUCCUGCUCCACAGAGACUGUAAGAUAGUGUUCACGGUUUUAAGCUACUAAGUUUUGGAGUAAUUUGUUACAUAGCAAUAAAUAACUAAUAUACCAGUCUAUAUGGACUUCAUCAGCAGGCUCCCUUGCCCACUGACUUCCAGCUAGGUUCAGCUAACAAGGGUUAUGAAAGGAUAGUGAAGGUAGAAAGCAGAGUCAGGUUGGGAAAUUUGCCUACCAGGCUUCUUCCCUAUUGAGUCGUUGAGUGUUGGCUAUAAAGUUCUCAGUUGCUAUUUUGUGGUUACCCCCAUAUAGCUACUGUGACCAGGUCCUAGUGACCACACUAUUCCCCUGCCAUUUCAGGCCCUGAUGUUACAAGCUCCAGAAUCCUGCAGUCUUUUCCUUGUAGCUUCCAUAUACCCUGCCCAUACCUUUGUAAAUUGCCCCUUUAUGAACUCUCCUCAAAUUACCCAAUUUGAGUGUACCUGUUUCCUGCUGAAACCAUGACUGAUACCAACAGUGAGAAUAAGGAAGUCUGGGAAGAAAUGACAUUUGAUCUGAGUCUUGAAGAAUGAAUGUAAUCUUGUCAAAUAAAAAAGGAAGAGCAACACAUGUUCUCGCAUCAAUAGCCACAGGCAAGUACAAUAUCUCAUUCCAAAAGCUGUAUAGCUCUGAUUGCUCAGCUCCAUGGGACACCAUUUGCACUGAAUUCUAUCUGGAUGGCUUCUAGAAUUAUGCAAUGGGGUCAUAACUGUAGGACCGGAUUUCAGUCCACAUCCAAAGAUGCAUAUGAAAUAUUAUCUUCUAAAUUUUCUACAGUUCAAUUUCUAUUUGUAUUUCAAACAACCCAUCCAGAGGUGACAGAAACUUCUUAAUCAAUUUGAGAUUUCUCCUCUCCCUCUGUCCUCUAGGAUGAAUUGGGGCAAUGAGGAGAUUAAAAAAAUUCAGUUAAUAUUUCAAAAACACCCAGUUACAUUCAAUAACAUUUUAUUUCUUUGGAGUACACUAAUUCAGUCUUUGUUAUAUUUCAGUGUAGGUUAGACCGGAGUUCAGAGUGGCCGAUGAAAAGAGGUUCUGCCAAGCAGCUGAUUAGGCUGAAUGUGAUUGCAGGAGCACAUUUAAACUCUAUGUUGAACCAUCCUUGUAUCCCUGGAAUAAAUCCCGCUUG